This 119-nucleotide ribosomal RNA is filed under the name Lepisosteus oculatus (spotted gar). The record is from RNAcentral. Lineage: Eukaryota; Metazoa; Chordata; Actinopteri; Semionotiformes; Lepisosteidae.
ACCAGCAGCCAUAGCACCUUGCAACUCGCAAUUGGCAACCCACUGAAGCUAAGCAGGUGUGAGCCUGGUCAGUACCUGGAUGGGAGACCUCCUGGGAAAAACUAAGGUUGCUGCUGGAA